Molecule: long non-coding RNA, 694 nt
Organism: Homo sapiens (human)
Lineage: Eukaryota; Metazoa; Chordata; Mammalia; Primates; Hominidae
Product: long intergenic non-protein coding RNA 1515
Source: Ensembl
UUCCUGUGUGGAACCUGGAAUUCAAACGGCUGGGGCCUCACUCACGGCAUAUGGAACUAACCACGCCCCUAACUAAGAAGGCACACCUUAGUUGCAGUUAGCACACAAUUAAAGCAACUCUCCAAGUUUUACCUUAAAGUUCAAAAUUGCUAGGAGUUGAAACUACUAGAAAUAUAUUUACAUGCAAGAGUCAAAGAAACUUUGAACUAUUUAUGGCCUUUAAUAAUUAAGUAAGGUAUACUCCUGUGAUCAAGACUUGGAGCAUAUUUGUUUCUCUCUGCCUGGUUCCUCUAGAAAUUGGAAACUAUCAGGGAGAGAUGAUGACAGCCUGAACAAGGAUGACAAUAAUGGAAACAGAGACAAAAGGACAGAGGUGGAACAGAGACCAACUCCGUUUCCCGAUCCCUUUGCAAUCUGCAUUGAACCAUGAGUCAAGUUCUUGAUAAAGGAGUGAAAAUGGUAAGUCUAAAGCAAUGAAAAGCUGCUGUAUUGACUACACAUGCCUUCAUUUCUUCUACCCUGCUUCUUUCAUGCCUGCUUAUCUGAAUGACACCAGGAUGACAUUUAAGGCACAUCUGAAGAUGGGGAAACCACAGCACAGAAUAAGGCUGGGCCCUUGAAUCAAUAAAUGAAGGAGAACUACUCAAGAGAACAAAACCACCAGCAAUAUCCACCUGUAUUUGUCUUUUCAUAA